CCACGCGAACAAGUGCGAGGCUCACCAAGAAUUCUCAACCUGUGCGCUCUAAUUAACGAGAUCCUCGCCCGAGUCAGCUGUUGUCUCUGUAAAAAAAAUUAGCGGGGAAUGAGUCGCUAGCUCAGUGAGUAAUAACACUUAACCAUAAUCGUUUUUAUUUGGGAACAAGUCAGAAAAUAUGCUAGUAUCUCAAAUAGAAAAUGACAUAAAAAUGCCCUUUCAGAAAUAAUAAAUAAUUUUCAGUCUCAUCAUACUUUUCUUGUAAUAUAAUACAAUUAACAGUUCAGUAAUAAGCUCAGUAACCACUGCAUAAUAUCAAUAUUCACAUUUUUGGGAGGUUUCAAUGAACGGAUCAUGUAUUUGGUAUAACUGUGGACUUCUUUGCAAGAAGUCAUAUAUAACGGUAGUCCCUACUCGAGGGAAAUCGGUAACGGUAUGCUAGUUCUACCUUCCCAUUAGCGAGGGCUAUAACUGUACUCUGUAAUCGGUAAAUACAAGGUGCACCAGGUCUAACGAACCCGCCGUUAGCUACGGGAUCCUUCAAUGUCUACUCUCAUUUAUACUUGUCUCUGUAAUCCGCAUAUACUCGUAGAAAAUAAUUUAAAACAAUAUAGGGCAUUUAGGUAUUUAUCAAAUUAUGUAAUUUUCUUUCGAUAACAGUAAAUUCAAGAAACGGUCAAACAGAUCUAGUGACAUAAAAAUAUUUAAAACCACGGUAUUUAUCUCAAAUAACUAUUUCGGUAUCAUAUCGAGUAAAAGACUUGUCCCACAUGCAACUCAAAAUAAUCGGUAACAUAUUCAUAUUAAAAAUUAUGUGUAAAUCAUGCAAGUUAUGAAAACACAAAUUGUGGUAAGAUUACUACUCACAGUACUCGUGCCGAAAUACCAAAUGCUUCACCUCGAGCAAUUCGUACAAAUUCCUCCAAUCAAUCUAUAAUUACAUAAUAUCAAUCUCAUGUUAAUUUCCUUAUUUAGGCUAAUUCAAAGCUAAUUUAGAAUACCCAAUCAUCGGGGUUCAUGUUUCGAUCUUAAUUUGUGGAUUUAUAUUUACCCACAUAUGAGUAAUUACUAAUUUAUCAACUCCAACCUAUUCAUAUAAUUUAUUACUCCAAAUUUCAUAAAGUUCUAUUGGUUCUUUAGGAAGAAAAUUCUCAAUUGUGUGAAUGAACUAGUGUAAUUUCUAUUACUCUGUAGAAUCUUCCAAUCAAGAGAAUCGAAAUUAAAAUCUACCAGAAGAAAAAGUUCAAGUAAUACCCGUAAGAGACAAUUUGUGCUUAAGAUUCCUCAACAGUUAUAACUAUGGCUCCAAUACACUGCACCCACUUCUUCCUCCUUCUUUUCUCUUUUCCUUCUUUCUUCCUCUGCUCU
RNAcentral lists this long non-coding RNA (1368 nucleotides) under Nicotiana tabacum (common tobacco). RNAcentral describes it as "long non-coding RNA (NTAB_LNC006637)". Lineage: Eukaryota; Viridiplantae; Streptophyta; Magnoliopsida; Solanales; Solanaceae. The record is from RNAcentral.